This 253-nucleotide ribosomal RNA is filed under the name uncultured bacterium. RNAcentral's name for it is "partial 16S ribosomal RNA". It matches the Rfam family "Bacterial small subunit ribosomal RNA", at positions 524 to 776 of the family's 1533-position model. The record is from RNAcentral.
UACAGAGGGUGCGAGCGUUAAUCGGAAUUACUGGGCGUAAAGCGUGCGUAGACGGUUAUUUAAGUCGGGUGUGAAAGCCCCGGGCUCAACCUGGGAAUUGCAUUCGAGACUGAAUAGCUAGGGUACGGUAGAGGGAAGUGGAAUUUCCGGUGUAGCGGUGAAAUGCGUAGAUAUCGGAAGGAACAUCAGUGGCGAAAGCGACUUCCUGGUCCAGCACCGACGUUCAGGCACGAAAGCGUGGGGAGCAAACAGG